RNAcentral lists this ribosomal RNA (448 nucleotides) under uncultured Planctomycetota bacterium. RNAcentral describes it as "bacterial SSU rRNA". It matches the Rfam family "Bacterial small subunit ribosomal RNA", at positions 217 to 656 of the family's 1533-position model. The record is from RNAcentral. Lineage: Bacteria; Pseudomonadati; Planctomycetota.
GCUUAGAGAGGGGUCAAUGUCCUAUUAGCUAGUUGGUAGGGUAAUGGCCUACCAAGGCUAAGACGGGUAGCCGGCCUGAGAGGGUGGUCGGCCACACUGGGACUGAGACACUGCCCAGACUCCUACGGGAGGCUGCAGUCGAGAAUCUUUCGCAAUGCCCGAAAGGGUGAUGAAGCGACGCCGCGUGUGGGAAGAAGGCCUUCGGGUUGUAAACCACUGUCGGGAGUUAAGAAAUGCAAGGGUGUUAAUAGCAUCCUUGCUUGACUAAGGCUCCGGAGGAAGCCACGGCUAACUCUGUGCCAGCAGCCGCGGUAAUACAGAGGCGGCAAGCGUUGUUCGGAAUUAUUGGGCGUAAAGAGCACGUAGGCGGCUUUGUAAGUCAGUUGUGAAAGCCUUCUGCUCAACGGAAGAACAGCAUCUGAUACUGCAAGGCUAGAGUGCGGAAGGG